This 738-nucleotide ribosomal RNA is filed under the name uncultured bacterium. RNAcentral describes it as "bacterial SSU rRNA". It matches the Rfam family "Bacterial small subunit ribosomal RNA", at positions 8 to 719 of the family's 1533-position model. The record is from RNAcentral.
CAGGGUUUGAUCCUGGCUCAGGACGAACGCUGGCGGCGUGCCUAAUACAUGCAAGUAGAACGCACAGGAUGCACCGUAGUUUACUACACCGUAUUCUGUGAGUUGCGAACGGGUGAGUAACGCGUAGGUAACCUGCCUGGUAGCGGGGGAUAACUAUUGGAAACGAUAGCUAAUACCGCAUAAGAACAUUUACUGCAUGGUAGAUGUUUAAAAGGUGCAAAUGCAUCACUACCAGAUGGACCUGCGUUGUAUUAGCUAGUAGGUGAGGUAACGGCUCACCUAGGCGACGAUACAUAGCCGACCUGAGAGGGUGAUCGGCCACACUGGGACUGAGACACGGCCCAGACUCCUACGGGAGGCAGCAGUAGGGAAUCUUCGGCAAUGGGGGGAACCCUGACCGAGCAACGCCGCGUGAGUGAAGAAGGUUUUCGGAUCGUAAAGCUCUGUUGUUAAGGAAGAACGAGUGUGAGAGUGGAAAGUUCACACUGUGACGGUAUCUUACCAGAAAGGGACGGCUAACUACGUGCCAGCAGCCGCGGUAAUACGUAGGUCCCGAGCGUUGUCCGGAUUUAUUGGGCGUAAAGCGAGCGCAGGCGGUUAGAUAAGUCUGAAGUUAAAGGCUGUGGCUUAACCAUAGUACGCUUUGGAAACUGUUUAACUUGAGUGCAGAAGGGGAGAGUGGAAUUCCAUGUGUAGCGGUGAAAAUGCGUAGAUAUAUGGAGGAACACCGGUGGCGAA